Molecule: ribosomal RNA, 253 nt
Filed under: uncultured bacterium
Lineage: Bacteria
Description: partial 16S ribosomal RNA
Rfam family: Bacterial small subunit ribosomal RNA
Source: RNAcentral
UACGUAGGGCGCAAGCGUUGUCCGGAAUUAUUGGGCGUAAAGAGCUCGUAGGCGGUUUGUCGCGUCUGCUGUGAAAACCUAAGGCUCAACCUUGGGCUUGCAGUGGGUACGGGCAGACUAGAGUGUGGUAGGGGAGACUGGAAUUCCUGGUGUAGCGGUGAAAUGCGCAGAUAUCAGGAGGAACACCGAUGGCGAAGGCAGGUCUCUGGGCCACUACUGACGCUGAGAAGCGAAAGCGUGGGGAGCGAACAGG